RNAcentral lists this ribosomal RNA (610 nucleotides) under Streptococcus infantis. RNAcentral's name for it is "bacterial SSU rRNA". It matches the Rfam family "Bacterial small subunit ribosomal RNA", at positions 1 to 604 of the family's 1533-position model. Lineage: Bacteria; Bacillati; Bacillota; Bacilli; Lactobacillales; Streptococcaceae. The record is from RNAcentral.
AAACUGAAGAGUUUGAUCCUGGCUCAGAUUGAACGCUGGCGGCAUGCCUUACACAUGCAAGUCGAACGGCAGCACGGGUGCUUGCACCUGGUGGCGAGUGGCGAACGGGUGAGUAAUACAUCGGAACAUGUCCUGUAGUGGGGGAUAGCCCGGCGAAAGCCGGAUUAAUACCGCAUACGAUCUACGGAUGAAAGCGGGGGACCUUCGGGCCUCGCGCUAUAGGGUUGGCCGAUGGCUGAUUAGCUAGUUGGUGGGGUAAAGGCCUACCAAGGCGACGAUCAGUAGCUGGUCUGAGAGGACGACCAGCCACACUGGGACUGAGACACGGCCCAGACUCCUACGGGAGGCAGCAGUGGGGAAUUUUGGACAAUGGGCGAAAGCCUGAUCCAGCAAUGCCGCGUGUGUGAAGAAGGCCUUCGGGUUGUAAAGCACUUUUGUCCGGAAAGAAAUCCUUGGCUCUAAUACAGUCGGGGGAUGACGGUACCGGAAGAAUAAGCACCGGCUAACUACGUGCCAGCAGCCGCGGUAAUACGUAGGGUGCGAGCGUUAAUCGGAAUUACUGGGCGUAAAGCGUGCGCAGGCGGUUUGCUAAGACCGAUGUGAAAUCCCC